GUGGCGAACGGGUGAGUAACACGUGAGUAACCUGCCCUUGACUCUGGGAUAAGCACUGGAAACGGUGUCUAAUACCGGAUACGAACUUCAGCCGCAUGGCUAGGAGUUGGAAAGAAUUUCGGUCAAGGAUGGACUCGCGGCCUAUCAGCUAGUUGGUGAGGUAAUGGCCCACCAAGGCGACGACGGGUAGCCGGCCUGAGAGGGUGACCGGCCACACUGGGACUGAGACACGGCCCAGACUCCUACGGGAGGCAGCAGUGGGGAAUAUUGCACAAUGGGCGCAAGCCUGAUGCAGCAACGCCGCGUGAGGGACGACGGCCUUCGGGUUGUAAACCUCUUUUAGUAGGGAAGAAGCAAAGUGUUUUACACGGAGUGACGGUACCUGCAGAAAAAGCACCGGCUAACUACGUGCCAGCAGCCGCGGUAAUACGUAGGGUGCAAGCGUUAUCCGGAAUUAUUGGGCGUAAAGAGCUCGUAGGCGGUUUGUCGCGUCUGCUGUGAAAACUGGGGGCUCAACCCCCAGCCUGCAGUGGGUACGGGCAGACUAGAGUGCGGUAGGGGAGAUUGGAAUUCCUGGUGUAGCGGUGGAAUGCGCAGAUAUCAGGAGGAACACCAAGGGCGAAGGCAGAUCUCUGGGCCGUAACUGACGC
Molecule: ribosomal RNA, 650 nt
Filed under: uncultured Microbacteriaceae bacterium
Lineage: Bacteria; Bacillati; Actinomycetota; Actinomycetes; Micrococcales; Microbacteriaceae
Description: bacterial SSU rRNA
Rfam family: Bacterial small subunit ribosomal RNA
Source: RNAcentral